This 430-nucleotide ribosomal RNA is filed under the name uncultured bacterium. RNAcentral describes it as "partial 16S ribosomal RNA". It matches the Rfam family "Bacterial small subunit ribosomal RNA", at positions 354 to 796 of the family's 1533-position model. The record is from RNAcentral.
GUGGGGAAUAUUGCACAAUGGGCGCAAGCCUGAUGCAGCAACGCCGCGUGAGGGAUGACGGCCUUCGGGUUGUAAACCUCUUUUAGUAGGGAAGAAGCGUAAGUGACGGUACCUGCAGAAAAAGCACCGGCUAACUACGUGCCAGCAGCCGCGGUAAUACGUAGGGUGCAAGCGUUGUCCGGAAUUAUUGGGCGUAAAGAGCUCGUAGGCGGCUUGUCGCGUCUGCUGUGAAAUCCCGGAGCUCAACUCCGGGCGUGCAGUGGGUACGGACAGGCUGGAGUGCGGUAGGGGAGAUUGGAAUUCCUGGUGUAGCGGUGGAAUGCGCAGAUAUCAGGAGGAACACCGAUGGCGAAGGCAGAUCUCUGGGCCGUAACUGACGCUCAUGCACGAAAGCGUGGGGAGCAAACAGGAUUAGAAACCCCGGUAGUCC